GAUUCGGACCCAUGCAGUCACAACGCCUAAACCUUGUCAGGACCGGAAGGUAGCAGCAAUACGGGAUGCUUGUGACAGGCUUGGAAUCCGGAUCUUU
Molecule: signal recognition particle RNA, 97 nt
Filed under: Gomphosphaeria aponina SAG 52.96 = DSM 107014
Lineage: Bacteria; Bacillati; Cyanobacteriota; Cyanophyceae; Chroococcales; Gomphosphaeriaceae
Description: Bacterial small signal recognition particle RNA
Rfam family: Bacterial small signal recognition particle RNA
About the family: The signal recognition particle (SRP) is a universally conserved ribonucleoprotein involved in the co-translational targeting of proteins to membranes. Archaeal SRP consists of a 7S RNA and homologues of the eukaryotic SRP19 and SRP54 proteins.
Source: Rfam by way of RNAcentral